AUGGAACAGGGUGACAGGAGAGAAAGAAGAGGGGUGACACAGAGACUGAGAGGGACCAAGAUGCAGAGAGGCAGAAAUAUCAGGCAGAGACAGGGUAGAGAGACAGAGAUGGAGAGAGAUAGAGACAGGGAGGAGGAGGAGAAAAGAAGGUGGAGGAAGGAGAUAGGAAAGGGACCAAGACAGCAGGAAGCAGACAGAAAAGAGAAAUUAGAAAGAGAUAGUGAAAUAGAGAGAGACCGACUGAGACAGGACGGGGAAAACAGCCGGAGAGAGGGGCAGAGGACAGGGACCAAGGAGUCGCCAGGAUGGAGGGCGGUGGGGCAGAGCCUGGGACGGGCACGGGACCGGAUGGGCAGGAGGUGGCGGAGUCGCGACGCCCCGCUCUCUCGCUCCGGGGGCCCCGCGGCCGCACUCACCUGCCUGGCGUGGCCCGCUGCCCCCGGCGUCUCCACGGCGCUGCCUUUGCUCUGCCCGCCUCCCUGGCGGCCCUGGCCUCGGCUGGGUCCCCGCGGUGCGCUCCCGCCGCCCUGCGCUCCUCUGGCCGCUGUGCGCUCACUCGCCGCGUUGCUUGCGGGGGGCCGCGGGGCGGGACCCGAGCCGGACAGGGCGGGCGGGGCGCAUGGGGAGAGGCCCCUGUGGGCUCUGCCGCUCUCAGCCACCCAACAGGUGUCUCCCACCUUCCUUCCAGCCAGCUUCGGGGGCAGGGGGCGCUGGAGAGCUGCAGGGGAAUCGUGCGAAAGUGAGGGCUCCACCGCCACCGGACUCUGGACCAGAGCCCCGCCCAGCCUCACAAGUCGUGCCCCGACACCCACACUCAGCACUGGGCUUCCACACACAAACAGCCGCGUCCACACACCAACGCACCUUGUCACAAGUUCAGGCGCACAGCUGCCCAGUCUCACAUGUUCGGUGACAUGGUCACCACAGUGCCAACGGCCUGGGCAGGCUGCGAUCAGGAGGGGAAUCCCUCUGCAAGAUGCUUGGGAGUGCGUGGAGGGUCUGGUCAGAAUAGAAGCUUCUCCCCUUGCCUUGACCACCCCUGCCCUGCCCACGCGCUGUCCCCAACUGCAGCAUGCUGCGGUUUGCACACAUGCAUGCACACGGUGGUGGACCCACAAGGAUGCACUUACACACACUCAGAGGUCUUUAAGCUGA
RNAcentral lists this long non-coding RNA (1155 nucleotides) under Macaca fascicularis (crab-eating macaque). RNAcentral describes it as "lncRNA (ENSMFAG00000057004.1)". The record is from RNAcentral. Lineage: Eukaryota; Metazoa; Chordata; Mammalia; Primates; Cercopithecidae.